CACACGAUAGUUCAGUGGUUAGAGCGUCGGCAUUGAAUGUCGAAAGUCGCGGGUUCGAAUCCCGCUCGUGUGA
Phthorimaea operculella (potato tuberworm) is the source of this 73-nucleotide non-coding RNA. The record is from the annotation of a GenBank genome assembly. NCBI's taxonomy places the organism in Eukaryota, Metazoa, Arthropoda, Insecta, Lepidoptera, Gelechiidae.